UACGAAGGGGGCUAGCGUUGUUCGGAAUUACUGGGCGUAAAGGGCGCGUAGGCGGCGUGUCAAGUCAGGCGUGAAAGCCCCGGGCUCAACCUGGGAACCGCGCUUGAGACUGGCAUGCUCGAGUUCGGGAGAGGAUGGUGGAAUUCCCAGUGUAGAGGUGAAAUUCGUAGAUAUUGGGAAGAACACCGAUGGCGAAGGCAGCCAUCUGGACCGACACUGACGCUGAGGCGCGAAAGCGUGGGGAGCGAACGGG
Molecule: ribosomal RNA, 253 nt
Filed under: uncultured bacterium
Lineage: Bacteria
Description: partial 16S ribosomal RNA
Rfam family: Bacterial small subunit ribosomal RNA
Source: RNAcentral